This 433-nucleotide ribosomal RNA is filed under the name uncultured bacterium. RNAcentral describes it as "bacterial SSU rRNA". It matches the Rfam family "Bacterial small subunit ribosomal RNA", at positions 29 to 507 of the family's 1533-position model. The record is from RNAcentral.
AACGAACGCUGGCGGCAUGCCUAACACAUGCAAGUCGAACGAGACCUUCGGGUCUAGUGGCGCACGGGUGCGUAACGCGUGGGAAUCUGCCUCUUGGUUCGGAAUAACUCAGGGAAACUUGAGCUAAUACCGGAUGAUGACGAAAGUCCAAAGAUUUAUCGCCAAGAGAUGAGCCCGCGUAAGAUUAGGUAGUUGGUGGGGUAAAGGCCUACCAAGCCGACGAUCUUUAGCUGGUCUGAGAGGAUGAUCAGCCACACUGGGACUGAGACACGGCCCAGACUCCUACGGGAGGCAGCAGUGGGGAAUAUUGGACAAUGGGCGAAAGCCUGAUCCAGCAAUGCCGCGUGAGUGAUGAAGGCCCUCGGGUCGUAAAGCUCUUUUACCAGGGAUGAUAAUGACAGUACCUGGAGAAUAAGCUCCGGCUAACUCCGUG